CCUGAAGAAAACUCACCUGAAAAGAACUCUCCUGACGAGAACUUUUCUGUUAAUAACUUACCUGCAAACGAUGUACCUGUAAUGUCAUCCCAAUUUCUAGACCAAGAUUCAAGUACACAAAUGGAAGCUGAACGAGAAACUGAAGAUGUUCUGCCUGGAGCUGAGCAAAGUGAAUCGAGUGAAGACACUGACUCUGGCGAAUCAGAUUGUGUCAGACGGUCUAACCGUAAAAGAGAGCAACCUGAGCGCCUGCACUAUGCUCAGUUUGGAAACCCAGUUGUCUCCAUGGUUCAGUCUUUAUUCCAUGGCCUAAGCACAGCUUUUACCGAAGCUUUGAGAGACAUUCCAGAACCUGAUUACUUACCUUGUUCCCAUUCCAAACCUGUUACUGCACAGCCAUACAGAUGCACCGGGACGUGCAUACGUUCAAGCGGGGAGGGUGUAACCCAGGUUAUAAAAGUCUGAAUUAUUUAAAAAGUACAUUUUAUUAUUAAAAAGGGCACAUAAUUAAUAUAUAGUCUAUUACAAUUAAGAAUAGCUAAUUCUUAAUAAAAACACAAUAAAUAAAAUAAGUCAAUUAAAUAAGGAGCUGGGAAAAUAAUGUAAAUAAAUACAGACACAAAUAUUAGAGUAAAAUAAACUUUAUUUAAUCCAUAAAUAAUUAUUUUUCAUAUUUUUGGGAAUACUUUGUUGUUUUAGUAGCACGUCACCUAUUGCAGCCAAUAGGGUGAUCGUAUUACGCUGACAUGAGUGGGAAAUACUGUUGACCCUGACCCAGCACUUCCUUUUGGGUCAAGCAGCCGUCAGGAGCAGGUGAAUGCUGGAAGAAAGUUGACAGAAAGCUAGAUACAAGCCAAACUUAGGUGAUAGAAACCUUAUUAUUAUCAGUAAUAACUCUCAUCUACUCUAAAACGUGAGCUGGUGGAGCCAAGACGCAGUUUGUGGUGAAUGAGGAGCUUAUUAGCCUGAUACACAGAGGUUUUUCUGCAUCGGUCAGGUUUUUUGACUAGAGUUCAAAUUGGAUUCCCUCGUUUCUACGUUUGAUGGCGAGCCUCCCUGGACUUCGACCCUGAAAGCUGUUUGCAAGUACUGUGGACAACUCUGAUCUGUGAAACCCCUUUUUUUCCUUUAUUGCUGAACCUUUAUUCAUCUUCAGAGCGGUAGGAGAAAUACUCACCAUGCCAUAGACUGGACUCUUUGCACAUACCCACACUUCAAACUCCAACUCCCACCUGUGAAACAAAAGAAAAAAAGAACUUUAUAUUGUUGUGGUUUUGAUAUAUGUAUAUUGUGUUAUUAUUUUAAUUGAACUUAAUUCUUGAAUUUACACAAUCUAACUAAUAUUCUUGUUAUUUUAUUUUGGUAUUCUGGUGAAAAAGGGAUAUUCUGAUAUUGAUACUGAGGUUGAUAUUGAUAUUUUGCAUAUAUAAAUAUAUUAUUAUUAUAGAUUUUCCUACCCGGGUAGUAGUAAUAUAAAUAGUAUCACAUACAACAACAUCAGGGAAAGAUAAUAUUGGUAUUAUUCAUAUUGAAUUCUAUAUCUUUUGUUUAUUAUUUUCUUUUAUUAUAAUAGUAUUAUAAUAGUAUUCGUACUUACCUUUUCAAUAAAUGGAGGCUUCCAUUAAGCUCCAAAUUCCA
Long non-coding RNA from Astyanax mexicanus (Mexican tetra), 1638 nucleotides. RefSeq lists it as uncharacterized. The record is from RefSeq and is a predicted model, not a curated record. NCBI's taxonomy places the organism in Eukaryota, Metazoa, Chordata, Actinopteri, Characiformes, Acestrorhamphidae. The transcript is spliced from 2 exons.